Molecule: small RNA, 45 nt
Filed under: Candidatus Sulfopaludibacter sp. SbA4
Lineage: Bacteria; Pseudomonadati; Acidobacteriota; Terriglobia; Bryobacterales; Solibacteraceae
Description: Acido-Lenti-1
Rfam family: Acido-Lenti-1 RNA
Source: RNAcentral
CCCAUGGCUCACGCCAUGGGCUACUCUCUGGCGCUCUUACGGGCU